UUUCCUAAAUCUCAUUCAUACUCUGGCCAGAGAUUCUUAAUCAUAUCAUAGAGUAUUCUCCCUCAAACGGUUUAAAGGUUAAAGAUCCCUUGUUGCGCAUUCACUUGCCUCCAUGGCUAAGUGGCUUAACCCCAACUAUGCCGUGGACACCCUCUGACAGAGUGACUUUGACAUAGUCAAAGAUCAAUGACCUAACCACAAGACAACUAUGAUGCCUCAGGUCAAAUGACUACUUUGCAUUAUCCCAACCAUGAGUUCUCAUGUGACAUGAGUAUGAGAACUCCUUGUUGAUCGUGUUUAGUGGACUCAUUCUCUAUUGAGCACCUACAUGCUUGUCUUGGUGUGAGUCACACCAAUGACUCGAGACCAGUCAUUCUCCCUAAGAGAAGACAUAGCACGUACUGAUCUUAAUGGACUGUCAAUGCCCAAUUGGCAAUCCUAUGAUCAGGAACGUUUAAGAUAUGUUUACGAAAGAGAAUGGUCUCAUGAAUCUAACUUCUUUAGAUCACAUUCUCCCAAUUACAUAUUCCUUGGACUUAUCGUUUAAGCGUAUAACAUUUAUAUGAGACGACUUCAAACAACUUAAUGUCCGUAAAGUAUCAUCAUAUGAUUGGUUUUAGGACACAUUUCCAACAAUAGAGGGUACAACAAAAACGUGGUUAGUCAUAUGGUAAUCCAUAGAGAUACAUUGUAGAACUUUUGGGUUCUAUAGACAUGUAUUGGUUUAGUUUAUGCAUGAAAGCUAUAGGUUUCAUGUAGUAAGUUUUGAAUGAAAACUUCAGGUUUCAAAGGCACUAAAUAUGAAACCACAGGUUCAAUUUAGUUUUAUGAACGAUUAGUUCAUAAAGGAGAGGUUCCUGCAAGAACACAGAAUGCAAUAUGCUGAUUUAAGUGUAGUGGAUUUGAGUUGCUUCGGGAACUUAAGUGUGAGAGCUUUGGGACUACGAAUUGGUGAUAAACCAAGUGAUAACUAAAUUAGAACUAAUUAGCAUAAACCAAAGUACCCUAAGAAAUAUUUUGGGCAUGAUUUAUAACGUGGGUAUGCCAAAAAUUGGCAUUGGGUCGAAAAAAGACAAAGGAGUAGGCCCUGCAGUUUGACUGCAGGCUUAUUGGGCCAUGAGAGGGUUUCAGGCCUCUAGGCGGUGUGGUUUGGGGAGCCCAGCAGCCAAGGCUGCUGUCAUUAGGCUAAGAAAUUGGACAUGGGUGCAGGCCCAAAAAAAAGUUUGUUGUGGGUUGGUUUGGGAAGCCUAGGUAAGCAAAGCUCAGUAAAAAAGGCUGCGGGUGAAGGAAAAAUUUUGUCCUAGCUAAGAACAAGUAAGAACAUUUGAAUACAUAUGCAAACUAUUAACACUUUAAAGUAGGCAUGCAUUAAAAAACAAUUCAUAAAACCCAUGACUUUCAAAGCCUAGUAUAUGGUGAACCAAUAAACUCUUUAACAACAUUAAAGAGAAGUAAAGAUUUAGAGUUUCUUUACCCUUAAAGCUCAUCCUUGUUUACACAAGGGAUUCACCCAAGUGGAGGGCCUUCAAGUCACCUCCUAGCUCCUUGGAUAUUGCUUGUGUUUUCCUUCUCCUUUUGUGCUCCUUUGGACUUUGUGGAUGUAAGGAAAGGAUCUCCAAAACA
RNAcentral lists this long non-coding RNA (1623 nucleotides) under Malus domestica (apple). RNAcentral describes it as "long non-coding RNA (MDOM_LNC018623)". The record is from RNAcentral. Lineage: Eukaryota; Viridiplantae; Streptophyta; Magnoliopsida; Rosales; Rosaceae.